AAGCCAACGGUCAAUUCGCCACCGACCCCACCGGCUUUCACAUUGCCGCCCUCCCCUACCCCGGCCGCGGCCACAUCAACCCCAUGCUCAGCAUCUGCGAACUACUCGCCGCCAAAGGCAUCCUCGUCACUGUGGUUGUAACCGAGGAGUGGGUGGAGCUCCUCGGCGCCCGUGCGGCGACACUGCCAUCAAACAUCCGUCUCCGGUCCAUCCCCAAUGUCCUCCCAUCAGAGGCCAUUCGGGGGGCCAAUUUCGUCGCCUUCAUUGCUG
This 270-nucleotide unclassified non-coding RNA is filed under the name Hevea brasiliensis (rubber tree). Lineage: Eukaryota; Viridiplantae; Streptophyta; Magnoliopsida; Malpighiales; Euphorbiaceae. The record is from RNAcentral.